This is a long non-coding RNA of Salmo salar (Atlantic salmon), 1181 nucleotides long. RefSeq lists it as uncharacterized. Lineage: Eukaryota; Metazoa; Chordata; Actinopteri; Salmoniformes; Salmonidae. The record is from RefSeq and is a predicted model, not a curated record.
UGGCCUACACAGAGCCCUGACCUCAACCUCAUCGAACACCUUAUGGAUGUAGCCGACUGCGAGCCAGGCCUAAUCGCCCAACCUCACUAAUCCUCCUGGCUGAAUGGAAGCAAGUUCCUGCAGCAAUGUUCCAACAUCUAGUGGAAAGCCUUCCCAGAAGAGUGGAGGCUGUUAUAGCAGCAAAGGGGGGACCAUCUCCAUAUUAAUACCCAUGAUAUUGGAAAGAGAUGUUUGGCGAGCAGGUGUCCACAUACUUUUGGUCAUGUAGUGUACUAUGAUUUGGUUAUGGCUAUUUGUGUAAAAGUCCUGACACAAUGUGCUAUCUAGUUGUAUAUAGUCUGGCUUAGUCAGUCAUACGCAGUAUCCUCAUAUUCUCUCUACGUCCUGGGGUAUACUACAAAGUAGCAACAAUGACUCUUGCCUAACUAUUGUGAAAAACGGUAUUUAUUUGGAAGAUGAGCUUGAAAUGGGCAUGGUCUAAUUGAAUCAAAAACACAAGUUAAGCUUUCUUCAUAAACAAGAAAAUCAAUUGUUAUUUUUGGUUGUUUAAAUGACAUUAAAAGUUCUAAAUUACAAGGUUCUAAAUGGCAUUAAAGUUGAAAAUGAAGUGCCUUAGCAUUUUGACCUGUUAAAGGUUCCAUUCACACUAUUAUACAAAUGCAAUUGCUGUGAUAGGUGUGUUGUCAUUCAAAUGUUCAGUGUGUGAGGUGGUUCUGUUAGAUGUACAUUUACAUUUUUUACAUUUUAGUCAUUUAGCAGACGCUCUUAUCCAGAGCGACUUACAGUAGUGAAUGCAUACAUUUCAUACAAUUUCAUACAUUUUUUUUUCUGUGCUGGCCCCCCGUGUACUCGUGACGUCACCAUAAGACAUGUUUCUACACCUGCAGUAUCAUUUGUAAUACUCACUAUGACGUUACCAGACACUUGUCUGUUUUAUCAGAGAUCACUUUGGUCACACAAUAAUGUUUAGCACAGAUUGCAUCCUAUAUGGCACCCUAGUCCCUAUAUAGUGUACUACUUUUGUAGUUCGCGUGCACUAUAUAGGGAAUAAAUAGGAUGCAGUCUACAAGUAAAUACUUUUCAGCAAGACAGUAACUGUUGACAUAUUUUGUAUCCAGUCAUUUUGAGUCAUUCCUAUGAAUCUCCCAAUUUUAAAAUAAAUGUUUCUGUAUCAAACAGAA